Molecule: long non-coding RNA, 322 nt
Filed under: Arabidopsis thaliana (thale cress)
Lineage: Eukaryota; Viridiplantae; Streptophyta; Magnoliopsida; Brassicales; Brassicaceae
Description: long non-coding RNA (ATHA_LNC000038)
Source: RNAcentral
GAGCAAUUUUUUUUUGCUAAACUUCAGGAUUUAACUCAUUCUUCUUCUUGUUCAAGUGGUUGCUGAUUCUGAAAUCUCUUCUUCAAUAACUUAGGUCUUGGUUUCAUAGGCUUCAAGUACUUAGAUUGAAAUCUAACCAUCUCUUUCAAAACACUAAUCAGCUUCCUCUCUAUUUCUUCACCGUCAGGUUCAAUAGCUCCUAAGCACCGUGCCACAGCCUCCGCCGUAGUUACACAUCCUCCGAAUGGUUCCUUCCUUAGCACAAGCUCUGAAUCGUAGAUGGUUCCUCCACUCACUGAUGCGUCUAUUUCCGUAUCCAAAC